Molecule: RNA transcript, 3649 nt
Organism: Platichthys flesus (European flounder)
Lineage: Eukaryota; Metazoa; Chordata; Actinopteri; Pleuronectiformes; Pleuronectidae
Gene: clcc1
Gene name: chloride channel CLIC-like 1
Exons: 11
Source: RefSeq, a predicted model, not a curated record
UUCAAUUCCGGGUCAAAGGUUGUACCUGUCGUGUGGCGCUUUUGUAGCUGUAACGAUGAGCAGUUGUUGUGAAGAGCAGGUGGACAGUUACUUUACACUAACGUGUGUUUGUGAAGCUCAGUGUGAGUCAGUGUUUGGAUUGUGAGUUUAAUUUCAUCUUUCACUCGGAGUCCUAACGCGGAAGUAGCGGGUCAGGAUGCUGCUCGCUCUGCUGGUGUGUAGCCUGGUUCUGGUCUCUGCCGUGGGGCAGCAGGCGAACGAUGACUGGGUCGACCCGUAUGAUAUGCUCCACUACGACUCAACCACCAAGAGCAUGAGGAAGCCCACUGAGCCAGCUCACUAUGAUAACGUGGUUACCAAGAGGAGGGAAUACACAGAGGACCCCAGCCAGGACGAGCUGGUCACGUUCAAAAGACAAGUAGUGGAUCUACAGAAGAAGAUUGAAGAACAAAAGAAGAAGAUCUCACUCCUCUCAGGUCAGCCGACAUGCAAUCCAGUGUUCAAGAGAUUCCUGACCAGGCUCCUGAAGGAAAUGCAAAAAGUUGGUUUGCCCACUGACUCCUCAGACGCUUUCUAUGAUGCCAAAGUUGGAGUUUCUCAACAAGCCAUCACCGAGAUUCAGACACUUCUGGAUGGUGACGGGAGCUUUACAACUGGUACUCUAGACACUGCCGUCAGUCAGAUACUAGUGGAUCUUAAACGACAUGACUAUGAGGCCUGGAAGUGGCGUUUUGAGGACAGUUUUGGCGUGGAGCUGGACACACUAUUAAAGAUCGGGCUGUGUGUUAUGGUCAUGAUGGCCAUCAUCUGCACGCAGCUGUGGUCGACCGUGUCCUGGUUCGUGCAGUUCACUCGACUCUUUGCUGUCUGCUUCGCUAUCAGUAUUGUCUGGAACUGGUUUUACCUGUAUAAGAUCGCCUUUGCUGAGCGACAAAACAACCUGGCGAAGAUGGACAGUGUAAAUGAAAAGUGCACCGGCAUGAAGAAAAUUUACUGGAGCGACAGUUUAAAAGAGUGGUACAGAAGCACCUGGACUCUUCAGGAUGACCCCUGUAAGAGUUACUAUGAACAUCUCAUUGUUGACCCCAUUCUGCUGGUACCUCCAACCAAGGCCAUCUCCAUGACCAUCACAACUUUCAUCACAGAGCCAAUGAAGCACAUUGGCCAGGGGAUCAGUGAGUUUCUUCGGGCCCUCCUCAAAGAUCUACCUGUUACCCUGCAGAUCCCUGUUCUCGUCACAAUUGUUCUCAUCAUGGUGGUAUUUGUGUAUGUCUGUGUGAACGCAGCCUUCCUGCAUGGCAUCACUGCACCUCUACACCGACGGGGUCCACCUCCUCCUGGGCUCCAACAACCACAACAGCAGCCUCAGGCUCAAAUCCAGGGGGUCGCGGACCUUGAACCCUUAACAGGCAGGGAUGCACACCAGCAAGGUCCAAGGCAGCAAGCCGACAAUGGCAGGGCACACAGGAAUCCGGUUCGUCAGCGGCAUCCCAACAGACCCAUUGAGAAGAAGGCUCGGGUGGUUGUGGAGACACUGCAAUCAGCUGCCCGUAGUGAGGAUGAGACAGACAAUGAGCAACCGGAGGGAAGACGUGAGGUUGAGCAGAAUCUGACCGAGGAGUCAGAUGCAGAAAACCAAAUGGAGAACAAAGAGGAGCCUGAAGAAGCAGCUGACAACAGGGUUGCUGCUCACACAGCCCAAGCAAAAACCAAAACCACGCCCAAGGCCAAACCUAUGAGAGUCAGUGAGAAUCGUACCCAGGACCAACACAGUGGAGACGAUGAGGCACCUAAAUCUCAGCCGGCAGGAAAUCCGCCUUCACAUACUGCUAUCAAGGGGAGUUUAAAAAAAAAAACUGUAAAUAUCACACUUGAGACAUAUGAUAGUGUUUCUUAACUGUGACUAAACGCCGUAUUUGUUGUUUUUAAUGUUUCAGCAGCACCCAUUCACUAAAUGGAUGGAGAAUAUUUACAUGCUUUAUACAUUGUAUAUAUGUAACAAGUAACAGAGAAUUUGAAUUCCAGUGCCUGUGAGUAAAUUUAAGUUAUCAUUUAGGUUUUAGAGUUCUAUCAUCAUUUAUGGACCUGUGGUUGAAGCAAAUAAUAAACAAUACGAUACUACAAUAAUGUAAGUUAAGUCAGACAGUGUCAUACAUGUAGGAAAUCAAACCAGUAAGAUGCUUCAUUGCUAAAAACCAAUCAUUUUAUUUACUCAGUAAAAUGUAAAUGACUUAAUUUAUCUCUCCCAUACUUCCUGGUCAUUAAAAAUGUUAACUUUAUAUGUUUCUCCACUGCAGGACCAUGAGGCCUCAGCAGGACACGGGACCUCCCCUGUGUCUGUGACACAUGUUGAAACUCUGGGAGUUCCAGUUCAGGAGUCGUGCCCAGUGCCUGAGGAGUAGACAUUCACUCUGUUUAGUGACAGACAGUAUUGAAAUGUUCAGGAGCAACAUUUUUAAGACCAGCCAAUGUGGAACCACACCAGUAGUUACCAACUAACUUUAUCUUGCUGAUGUACAGUCAACCAAAUGGGCCUUUCCUUGAGAUGAUGAUUUUGACAAAUAUCCCCAGUCAGAGACGGCGGCGGGAUUGCAGUGUGUCUCGGUGCUAUUUUUUCUAAUUUGAAUGUAAAGAUUACAAAGGGUCUCAUAAAACCUGGCGGUGAAAUCAACACAUAAUGAGUUUAAUCUGAGAUAUUUUUGUUGUCAUUCAUUGUUUUGCUGAAUUAAGUUUUGCUGAGCAGCAGUGAUACCUUAUGUAGUUUCCUGUGAGAAACUGUGUGUGCAAAGCUUAGACUGUAGAUAAAGAUGGAUGACGUGAUGUCCUUCCACUGAAGAAAAAUGAGGCUAAAAUAUCCUGGAUACAGCCGCGACCAUUUUGCUCUUUCGGUGUGAUUUGGAGUCCGUCUGUGUUUUCCAGGUCCCACUGAUACACACUUGACCAAAUCCAGAGUCAGUCUCAGUUGUCAAUCUUGAGGUUUCCUCCUCUUUGCAUAGCUUCCAUCUUUAUACACAGUCAAAGUGUGACAGAUUUGCUGAUUGCUCUUUGUUGCAUAUUCUGAAUUUGUUUUAAUAAUGUAUAAUGCAUCGUGUGACGAGUGGGAAACCUACAACUUGGUGAAAACAGGGAAGAAAUAGCACAGAUGAGAAGGGAGCUUUCUUGUGCUGGCAAUGUUUGAGUUCUAUCUGGCAGUGCCAUAACAAAACAGAACAUAUUAGUGGUGUUUCUCUUAGUGAUAAGGCUAAAGUCGGUUUACAGCAACUUGUAUGCAACACGUGUUCUUUCAGUCUCUAUGUCCUCUGUCACAAGAAACACAAAAAAAUUAUAAUGUUAGUCUAUGAAAACCAUACAAUAGCUGCAGGUGACAUUUCAUUUAAAUCCGAAUAUACAUAUAUCGAAUUAUUCUGUUGGAACAUAUGAAGUAAAGGGAAACAUCUUGAAUGCAGAGGAACAUCUGGCCAACAGUGCUUCACAACCAACACUCAGUUCAUUAAGUUACAGAGACAAUUGGAGUCAGUUUAUUGUGUCAGUGUUUAGAAGAGAAGAAGCUGAACACUAAAGAAUUUAAAUUGUUAAUGUUUUUGCCAUAUUUGUUCCCGAUUUCGAAAUGGAAACUAUUUUGCAAUAUAAAAUAAUUACUAAAAACAAA